Molecule: long non-coding RNA, 318 nt
Filed under: Neogale vison (American mink)
Lineage: Eukaryota; Metazoa; Chordata; Mammalia; Carnivora; Mustelidae
Description: Neovison vison (American mink) lncRNA (ENSNVIG00000009488.1)
Source: RNAcentral
AUGGACGCGCUUGUCCUGAUGGAAGCAUCUUCCAGGGUCAUGAACUCUGGGCCUGCAUCGAUGCACUGGGAGCUAGACACCACCAGCAACCUGCACACCGGGGCUCCUGAACGCAUCCGCACGGGUCGCGGUUCGGGGCGCGCGUCGGCGUCGUGGGAGCGUGGCGAGCAGUGGGAGUGCUGGUCGGUGUUCUUGUCUUGGAUGGAACGUUCGGAAAGGACCCGGCUAGCAGAUGUCAGGAUUCUUCCUUGGUCACGAGAGCUCAGGUUGCGUUCAUGCGUCAGGAACGUGGAGACCAUAAUGGUCACCGUCAGCUGA